GCCAGCGUAGCUCAGUUGGCAGAGCAGCGGUUUUGUAAACCGCAGGUCGCCGGUUCGAGCCCGGCCGCUGGCU
Molecule: transfer RNA, 73 nt
Filed under: Planctomycetota bacterium
Lineage: Bacteria; Pseudomonadati; Planctomycetota
Description: Planctomycetes bacterium tRNA-Thr
Rfam family: tRNA
About the family: Transfer RNA (tRNA) molecules are approximately 80 nucleotides in length. Their secondary structure includes four short double-helical elements and three loops (D, anti-codon, and T loops).
Source: RNAcentral